Molecule: ribosomal RNA, 269 nt
Filed under: uncultured prokaryote
Description: partial 16S ribosomal RNA
Rfam family: Bacterial small subunit ribosomal RNA
Source: RNAcentral
UACAGAGGGUGCAAGCGUUAAUCGGAAUUACUGGGCGUAAAGGGAGCGUAGGCGGUUCGGUAUGUCGAAUGUGAAAGCCCACAACUCAACUGUGGAAAUGCAUUCGAAACUGCCGGGCUAGAGUACUGGAGAGGAGAGCGGAAUUCUUGGUGUAGCGGUGAAAUGCGUAGAUAUCAAGAGGAACACCGGUGGCGAAGGCGGCUCUCUGGACAGAUACUGACGCUGAGGCUCUAAAGUUAGGGGAGCAAACAGGAUUAGAUACCCGGGUA